RNAcentral lists this ribosomal RNA (731 nucleotides) under uncultured bacterium. Its description in RNAcentral is "bacterial SSU rRNA". It matches the Rfam family "Bacterial small subunit ribosomal RNA", at positions 771 to 1501 of the family's 1533-position model. The record is from RNAcentral.
AAUAGGAUUAGAUACCCUGGUAGUCCACGCUGUAAACGAUGUCGACUUGGAGGUUGUGCCCUUGAGGCGUGGCUUCCGGAGCUAACGCGUUAAGUCGACCGCCUGGGGAGUACGGCCGCAAGGUUAAAACUCAAAUGAAUUGACGGGGGCCCGCACAAGCGGUGGAGCAUGUGGUUUAAUUCGAUGCAACGCGAAGAACCUUACCUACUCUUGACAUCCAGAGAAUUUGCUAGAGAUAGCUUAGUGCCUUCGGGAACUCUGAGACAGGUGCUGCAUGGCUGUCGUCAGCUCGUGUUGUGAAAUGUUGGGUUAAGUCCCGCAACGAGCGCAACCCUUAUCCUUUGUUGCCAGCGAGUAAUGUCGGGAACUCAAAGGAGACUGCCGGUGAUAAACCGGAGGAAGGUGGGGAUGACGUCAAGUCAUCAUGGCCCUUACGAGUAGGGCUACACACGUGCUACGAUGGCAUAUACAAGGAGAAGCGAACUCGCGAGAGCAAGCGGACCUCAUAAAGUAUGUCGUAGUCCGGAUUGGAGUCUGCAACUCGACUCCAUGAAGUCGGAAUCGCUAGUAAUCGUAGAUCAGAAUGCUACGGUGAAUACGUUCCCGGGCCUUGUACACACCGCCCGUCACACCAUGGGAGUGGGUUGCAAAAGAAGUAGGUAGCUUAACCUUCGGGAGGGCGCUUACCACUUUGUGAUUCAUGACUGGGGUGAAGUCGUAACAAGGUAACC